This 363-nucleotide ribosomal RNA is filed under the name uncultured eukaryote. Its description in RNAcentral is "partial 18S ribosomal RNA". It matches the Rfam family "Eukaryotic small subunit ribosomal RNA", at positions 592 to 976 of the family's 1831-position model. The record is from RNAcentral.
CAAAAGCGUAUAUUAAAGUUGUUGCAGUUAAAAAGCUCGUAGUUGAACCUUGGGCUUGGCUGGCCGGUCCAUCUUUUUUGAUGCGUACUGGACCCAGCCGAGCCUUUCCUUCUGGCUAGCCUUUUGGCGAACCAGGACUUUUACUUUGAAAAAUUAGAGUGUUCAAAGCAGGCCUUUGCUCGAAUAUAUUAGCAUGGAAUAAUAGAAUAGGACGUUAUGGUUCUAUUUUGUUGGUUUCUAGGACCAUCGUAAUGAUUAAUAGGGACGGUCGGGGGUAUCAGUAUUCAGUUGUCAGAGGUGAAAUUCUUGGAUUUACUGAAGACUAACUACUGCGAAAGCAUUUACCAAGGACGUUUUCAUUAA